This 774-nucleotide ribosomal RNA is filed under the name uncultured Neocallimastigales. RNAcentral's name for it is "partial large subunit ribosomal RNA". It matches the Rfam family "Eukaryotic large subunit ribosomal RNA", at positions 24 to 644 of the family's 3401-position model. Lineage: Eukaryota; Fungi; Neocallimastigomycota; Neocallimastigomycetes; Neocallimastigales. The record is from RNAcentral.
UAUCUCUGUAGAGUCUGCAUAUCAAUAAGCGGAGGAAAAGAAACUAACAAGGAUUCCCUUAGUAACGGCGAGUGAAGCGGGAAGAGCUCAAAUUUGAAAUCUUCAAGGUUCUACCUUGACGAAUUGUAGUUUAAAGAAGUGUUUUCUGUUAGAUGAGUAGCAAAAGUUCCUUGGAACGGGACAUCAUAGAGGGUGAGAAUCCCGUAUUUGGUUAUUCAUUCUAGCUUUGUGAUACACUUUCAAAGAGUCGGAUUGUUUGGGAAUGCAGUCCAAAAUGGGUGGUAAAUUUCAUCUAAAGCUAAAUAUUGGCGAGAGACCGAUAGCGAACAAGUACCGUGAGGGAAAGAUGAAAAGAACUUUGAAAAGAGAGUUAAACAGUACGUGAAAUUGUCAAAAGGGAAACGUUUGACACCAGUGUUGUUUUUCCGAAAAUCAAUUACGAAUGGCUUGAUUUUGUGUUGUAUUGACCUUAUCAGCUUUCUUCACUUUUUUCGAGUCUUUCUUAAUGCACUUUUCGGUUAACAAGUCAACAUCAAUUUCUUUUGUUGUAAAAGAGUAUUCGGAAGGUGGCUUUCUUUUCGGAGAAAGUGUUUAUAGCCCUAUACUUCUACAAUCGGAGAGAUUGAGGUCUGCAGCGUAGAUCCUUCGGGGUUAGAUACACUUGUGCUAAGUUGUAGCUUUUCAUAGACAACUUGUUGACUAUGUUUAGUCAUGCGGCUUACUCGCUUAUGCUAUUUUACCUACGCUUAGGAUGUUGACUGAUAUGUAGUCGUA